UACAGAGGGUGCGAGCGUUGUUCGGAAUUAUUGGGCGUAAAGGGCGCGUAGGCGGUGCGGUAAGUCACCUGUGAAAUCUCCUGGCUCAACUGGGAGCUUGCAGGCGAAACUGCCGUGCUGGAGUGUGGGAGAGGUGAGUGGAAUUCCCAGUGUAGCGGUGAAAUGCGUAGAUAUUGGGAGGAACACCAGUGGCGAAGGCGGCUCACUGGACCGGUACUGACGCUGAUGCGCGAAAGCGUGGGGAGCAAACGGG
RNAcentral lists this ribosomal RNA (253 nucleotides) under uncultured bacterium. RNAcentral describes it as "partial 16S ribosomal RNA". It matches the Rfam family "Bacterial small subunit ribosomal RNA", at positions 524 to 776 of the family's 1533-position model. The record is from RNAcentral.